This 32-nucleotide non-coding RNA is filed under the name Mus musculus (house mouse). The record is from RNAcentral. Lineage: Eukaryota; Metazoa; Chordata; Mammalia; Rodentia; Muridae.
UGGUGAUGAUCAGUGUGGCCAGAACAGAAAUU